RNAcentral lists this ribosomal RNA (530 nucleotides) under Davidiellaceae sp. 1 IP-2014. RNAcentral's name for it is "eukaryotic LSU rRNA". The stretch from base 200 to 353 matches the Rfam family "5.8S ribosomal RNA". Lineage: Eukaryota; Fungi; Ascomycota; Dothideomycetes; Cladosporiales; Cladosporiaceae. The record is from RNAcentral.
GGCCUUCCCCCCGUCCGGCAAAUGCACCCUUCCUCGGAAGGUGUGCGCCGGGUUCCGUGGGGAGGGGUUACAACCAACACUUUGCCGUCCAACCAUGUUGCCUCGGGCGAGACCCUGCCUUCGGGCGGGUGGCACCCCGGUGGACACAAUCAAACUCUUGCAUAACAAUGUAGUCUGAGUGAUUUAAACAAUAAAUCAAAACUCUCAACAACGGAUCUCUUGGUUCUGGCAUCGAUGAAGAACGCAGCGAAAUGCGAUAAGUAAUGUGAAUUGCAGAAUUCAGUGAAUCAUCGAAUCUUUGAACGCACAUUGCGCCCCGUGGUAUUCCGCGGGGCAUGCCUGUUCGAGCGUCAUUUCACCACUCAAGCCUCGCUUGGUAUUGGGCGAUGCGGUACGCCGCCCGCCUCAAAUCUCCCGGCUGGUUCGAAUCGUCCCUCAGCGUUGUGGAAACUAUUCACUAAAGGUGCGCGGUUCGGUCACGCCGUUAAACAAGACCAUUUUCAUUAAAGGUUGACCUCGGAUCAGGUAGG